This 306-nucleotide long non-coding RNA is filed under the name Nicotiana benthamiana. RNAcentral's name for it is "long non-coding RNA (NBEN_LNC020741)". Lineage: Eukaryota; Viridiplantae; Streptophyta; Magnoliopsida; Solanales; Solanaceae. The record is from RNAcentral.
AAGGCACCAUUGCUUAAUAAUUGAUGGAUGGCUGUUGGUGGAACAUAAAGCGGCGAAAAGUAGUGACCAUAUGGAAUAUAAUUUGGAUGAUAAUGGGGUAGAUGCAUCCCUGCAGCCUGCCGAAAUACAGGGACAGGUUGCUGUGGUACAGCUAUCGAACUCUGCAUAAUGGAUGAUAAUGGGGCAGAUGCAUCCCUGCAGCCUGCCGAAAUACAGGGACAGGUUGCUGUGGUACAGCUAUCGAACUCUGCAUAAGCCCAGCAGCUUGAGUCACAAGUGGCGUCGGAGCGGCAGUAGAUAAAGCAA